AGUGAACGCUGGCGGCGUGCCUAACACAUGCAAGUCGAACGGGCUAGUGCUUCGCACUAGUCUCUUUCUGGGGUUGUUACUCUAAGACUGCCUGCUGAAGUUAUUGCUUUAAAGCAGCGGUUUUAGGGGAAUUUCCCCUAAAGGGGCCAGUGCGGAGCACUGGCCAGUGGCGAACGGGUGAGUAACACGUGGGUAAUCUACCCUCGAGUGGGGAAUAAGCUUCCGAAAGGAGGUCUAAUGCCGCAUAACGUUUCAUAACGAUGGUUAUGAAACCAAAGCCCAAAAGGCGCUUGAGGAGGAGCCUGCGUCCUAUCAGCUUGUUGGCAGGGUAAUGGCCUACCAAGGCUAUGACGGGUAGCCGGGCCUGAGAGGGUGUCCGGCCACACUGGAACUGAGACACGGUCCAGACUCCUACGGGAGGCAGCAGUGGGGAAUUUUGCGCAAUGGGGGAAACCCUGACGCAGCGACGCCGCGUGGAGGAUGACGGCCUCGGUGUAAGU
RNAcentral lists this ribosomal RNA (500 nucleotides) under uncultured bacterium. RNAcentral's name for it is "bacterial SSU rRNA". It matches the Rfam family "Bacterial small subunit ribosomal RNA", at positions 29 to 430 of the family's 1533-position model. The record is from RNAcentral.